GGGGGCGUACCGGUUUCGACGGGGACGCUGAAGUGGAGAUAGCGAGCAGCGGCGCCUAACCGCUCAACAAUGGGCAAUUAUAAAUUAAAGAACAACGAUAAUUACGUUGCCGUCGCUGCUUAAUUAAGCAGUUGACCUCCGCCCGUUUGUGCGCGGACGCCGAUCCCGGAGGGACCACGGACCGGGCUGGGUGAUGCCUUAAGUGGUAAACGUGCGUGCCGUAAGCUUUGCCGGUGCCAUGAAUGAUGAAGCUACUGAACUUGUGAGUGUGUCGGUUCACGCGCAGGUGAGGGAAUGUAAAAAAUCGACUGCGCUCGGAGAAGUCUCCAGGGAUACGUUUUCGGACACGGGUUCAACUCCCGUCGCCUCCACCA
RNAcentral lists this transfer-messenger RNA (374 nucleotides) under Oscillospiraceae. RNAcentral's name for it is "Onthomonas sp900758315 Standard tmRNA". It matches the Rfam family "transfer-messenger RNA". Rfam says of the family: Bacterial tmRNA, also known as 10Sa RNA or SsrA, is named for its dual tRNA and mRNA-like properties. Its role is to liberate the mRNA from a stalled ribosome. Lineage: Bacteria; Bacillati; Bacillota; Clostridia; Eubacteriales. The record is from RNAcentral. RNAcentral also lists the same sequence under 2 other names.